This is a non-coding RNA of Gossypium hirsutum (cotton), 80 nucleotides long. NCBI's taxonomy places the organism in Eukaryota, Viridiplantae, Streptophyta, Magnoliopsida, Malvales, Malvaceae. The record is from Rfam.
GAUAGUUUGGUCGAGUGGUUUAAGGCGCUAGUUUUAGGCUCUUGCCCGAAAGGGUGUGGGUUCAAAUCUCACAGCUCUCA